RNAcentral lists this ribosomal RNA (492 nucleotides) under uncultured bacterium. RNAcentral's name for it is "partial 16S ribosomal RNA". It matches the Rfam family "Bacterial small subunit ribosomal RNA", at positions 30 to 507 of the family's 1533-position model. The record is from RNAcentral.
AUUGAACGCUGGCGGCAUGCUUUACACAUGCAAGUCGAACGGUAACAGGCCUUCGGGUGCUGACGAGUGGCGAACGGGUGAGUAAUGCAUCGGAACGUGCCCAGAGGUGGGGGAUAACGCAGCGAAAGCUGUGCUAAUACCGCAUGUGAUCUGAGGAUGAAAGCGGGGGACCAAGCAGCAAUGUUUGGCCUCGCGCCUCUGGAGCGGCCGAUGUCAGAUUAGGUAGUUGGUGGGGUAAAGGCCUACCAAGCCGACGAUCUGUAGCUGGUCUGAGAGGACGACCAGCCACACUGGGACUGAGACACGGCCCAGACUCCUACGGGAGGCAGCAGUGGGGAAUUUUGGACAAUGGGCGCAAGCCUGAUCCAGCAAUGCCGCGUGCGGGAAGAAGGCCUUCGGGUCGUAAACCGCUUUUGUACGGAACGAAAAGGCUCUGGCUAAUACCUGGGGCUGAUGACGGUACCGUAAGAAUAAGCACCGGCUAACUACGUG